GAUGAACGCUGGCGGCGUGCCUAAUACAUGCAAGUCGAGCGAACGGACGAGAAGCUUGCUUCUCUGAUGUUAGCGGCGGACGGGUGAGUAACACGUGGAUAACCUACCUAUAAGACUGGGAUAACUUCGGGAAACCGUAGCUAAUACCGGAUAAUAUUUUGAACCGCAUGGUGCAAAAGUGAAAGACGGUCUUGCUGUCACUUAUAGAUGGAUCCGCGCUGCAUUAGCUAGUUGGUAAGGUAACGGCUUACCAAGGCAACGAUGCAUAGCCGACCUGAGAGGGUGAUCGGCCACACUGGAACUGAGACACGGUCCAGACUCCUACGGGAGGCAGCAGUCGGGAAUCUUCCGCAAUGGGCGAAAGCCUGACGGAGCAACGCCGCGUGAGUGAUGAAGGUCUUCGGAUCGUAAAACUCUGUUAUUAGGGAAGAACAUAUGUGUAAGUAACUGUGCACAUCUUGACGGUACCUAAUCAGAAAGCCACGGCUAACUACGUG
RNAcentral lists this ribosomal RNA (497 nucleotides) under uncultured bacterium. RNAcentral describes it as "partial 16S ribosomal RNA". It matches the Rfam family "Bacterial small subunit ribosomal RNA", at positions 28 to 507 of the family's 1533-position model. The record is from RNAcentral.